Molecule: small nuclear RNA, 162 nt
Filed under: Loxodonta africana (African savanna elephant)
Lineage: Eukaryota; Metazoa; Chordata; Mammalia; Proboscidea; Elephantidae
Description: U1 spliceosomal RNA (ENSLAFG00000027559.1)
Rfam family: U1 spliceosomal RNA
About the family: U1 is a small nuclear RNA (snRNA) component of the spliceosome (involved in pre-mRNA splicing).
Source: Rfam by way of RNAcentral
AUGCGUACUUGUCAGAGGAGACGCCAUGAUCACGAAGGAAGUUUUCCCAGGCGGUGCUCAUCCAUUGCACUCAGGACGUGCUGACCCUUGCGAUUUCCCCACUUGUGGGAAACUUGACUGCAUAAUUUGUGGUAGUGGGUACUGUGUUCUCGCUUUCCCUGA